This 327-nucleotide long non-coding RNA is filed under the name Rattus norvegicus (Norway rat). RNAcentral's name for it is "long non-coding RNA NONRATT014166". The record is from RNAcentral. Lineage: Eukaryota; Metazoa; Chordata; Mammalia; Rodentia; Muridae.
AAAGACCCCUCCCAGGAGGCCAGUUCCCGUUGCUGACUGUGAACCACCCCCGGUGGAUAGGAACCUCAAGCCAGACAGAAAAGUUAAGCCGGCACCUUUAGAAAUCAAGCCUCUGUCAGAGUGGGAGGAGCUGCAGGCCCCAGUCAGAUCCCCCAUCACCAGGAGCUUCGCUCGGGAGUAAGUGUCUGACUGAGCACACAGCUCAGUAGCAAGACCACGGAAAUUGUCCGUCUCAAGGGAAAUGGGUUGACAAAGAGUCCAGAGAAGCCCCAAAGCCAAGAGUAUCUUCACUUGUCAUAAUAAAAAUGUCCAAUAUGUUUCUGUAAA